ACGGAAGGCAGCAGUGGGGAAUAUUGGGCAAUGGGCGCAAGCCUGACCCAGCAACGCCGUGUGAAGGAAGGAGGUCUUCGGAUUGUAAACUUUUGUCUUAUGGGACGAUAAUGACGGUACCAUAGGAGGAAGUCACGACUAACUACGUGCCAGCAGUCGCGGUAAUACGUAGGUGACAAGCGUUAUCCGGAAUUAUUGGGUGUAAAGGGUGCGUAGGCGGGCUGUAAGUCAGAUGUGAAAUACCGGGGCUCAACCCCGGAGCUGCAUUUGAAACUUACGGUCUUGAGUGAAGUAGAGGUAAGCGGAAUUCCCAGUGUAGCGGUGAAAUGCGUAGAUAUUGGGAGGAACACCAGUGGCGAAGGCGGCUUACUGGGCUUUUACUGACGCUGAGGCACGAAAGUGUGGGGAGCAAACAGGAUUAGAUACCCUGGUA
Molecule: ribosomal RNA, 433 nt
Filed under: uncultured Oscillospiraceae bacterium
Lineage: Bacteria; Bacillati; Bacillota; Clostridia; Eubacteriales; Oscillospiraceae
Description: bacterial SSU rRNA
Rfam family: Bacterial small subunit ribosomal RNA
Source: RNAcentral